ACUUAAAUUGAAGAGUUUGAUCAUGGCUCAGAUUGAACGCUGGCGGCAGGCCUAACACAUGCAAGUCGAGCGGUAGCACAGAGAGCUUGCUCUCGGGUGACGAGCGGCGGACGGGUGAGUAAUGUCUGGGAAACUGCCUGAUGGAGGGGGAUAACUACUGGAAACGGUAGCUAAUACCGCAUAACGUCGCAAGACCAAAGUGGGGGACCUUCGGGCCUCAUGCCAUCAGAUGUGCCCAGAUGGGAUUAGCUAGUAGGUGGGGUAACGGCUCACCUAGGCGACGAUCCCUAGCUGGUCUGAGAGGA
This 305-nucleotide ribosomal RNA is filed under the name Klebsiella pneumoniae. RNAcentral's name for it is "partial 16S ribosomal RNA". It matches the Rfam family "Bacterial small subunit ribosomal RNA", at positions 1 to 300 of the family's 1533-position model. RNAcentral also lists the same sequence under 1 other name. Lineage: Bacteria; Pseudomonadati; Pseudomonadota; Gammaproteobacteria; Enterobacterales; Enterobacteriaceae. The record is from RNAcentral.